UACGUAGGGGGCGAGCGUUGUCCGGAGUUACUGGGCGUAAAGGGCAUGCAGGCGGUCGGACGCGUUUUGUGUGACAGCGGGUGGCUCAACUACCCGAGCAUGCGAAAGACGGUCGGACUUGAGGACUCGAGAGGGACACGGAAUUCCGGGUGGAGUGGUGAGAUGCGUAGAGAUCCGGAGGAACACCGAAGGCGAAGGCAGUGUCCUGGCGAGUGACUGACGCUGAGGUGCGAAAGCCAGGGGAGCGAACGGG
RNAcentral lists this ribosomal RNA (253 nucleotides) under uncultured bacterium. RNAcentral's name for it is "partial 16S ribosomal RNA". It matches the Rfam family "Bacterial small subunit ribosomal RNA", at positions 524 to 776 of the family's 1533-position model. The record is from RNAcentral.